UCUGGCUCAGAACGAACGCUGGCGGCGUGGAUAAGACAUGCAAGUCGAACGAUCACUAGUGGGUAGCAAUAUUCGCUAGUGGGAGUGGCGCAAGGGUGCGUAACACGUGGGUAAUUUGCCAUGAAGUCUGGAAUAACUUGCUGAAAGGCGAGCUAAUACCGGAUGUGAUUACUGGAAGGCAUCUUCUGGUACUUAAAGUCGGGGACCGCAAGGCCUGACACUUCUUGAUAAGCCCGCGGCCUAUCAGCUAGUUGGUGAGGUAACGGCUCACCAAGGCUAAGACGGGUAGCUGGUCUGAGAGGACGACCAGCCUCACUGGAACUGAGACACGGUCCAGACACCUACGGGUGGCAGCAGUCGAGAAUUUUUCUCAAUGGGGAAACCCUGAAGGAGCGACGCCGCGUGGGGGAUGAAUGGCUUCGGCCGUAACCCUGUCAUUUGCGAUCAAACCUUACGACCUAACACGUCGUAAGCUGAUAGUAGCGGAAGAGGAAGGGACGG
Molecule: ribosomal RNA, 501 nt
Filed under: uncultured bacterium
Lineage: Bacteria
Description: bacterial SSU rRNA
Rfam family: Bacterial small subunit ribosomal RNA
Source: RNAcentral